AUGUUAUAUGAAAGGAGAGAAAAUUAGCACUUUCCUUGAAAAGCAUGAAUGAGGUCCUAGUGGCCUGUUUACAACACACAUGCAACAAUGAAAAAUAUGGAAAUAGGUAUCAAGUGAUAACAACUGUACAACCCAGUUGAAUUGCUUGU
RNAcentral lists this non-coding RNA (149 nucleotides) under Monodelphis domestica (gray short-tailed opossum). Lineage: Eukaryota; Metazoa; Chordata; Mammalia; Didelphimorphia; Didelphidae. The record is from RNAcentral.